This is a long non-coding RNA of Carassius auratus (goldfish), 155 nucleotides long. RefSeq lists it as uncharacterized. Lineage: Eukaryota; Metazoa; Chordata; Actinopteri; Cypriniformes; Cyprinidae. The transcript has 2 exons. The record is from RefSeq and is a predicted model, not a curated record.
GGUUCAAGGGGUUGCCACGCUCUGACUCUGAUCAUGAAUCGCCCGGAGACUGGAUGAGAGAGCUGAAGUCACUGGUACAGUAGCUGAUCAUUGUAUGAACUGGACAUACAUGGAGGCUGUUCUCAUCCAGAGACAAUAAAUAUCUCAGACACUCA